GGGUAUAGCUCAGUGGUAGAGUGCAUGCUUAGCAUGCAGGAGGUCCUGGGUUCAAUCCCCAGUAUCUCCA
RNAcentral lists this transfer RNA (70 nucleotides) under Camelus bactrianus (Bactrian camel). It matches the Rfam family "tRNA". Rfam says of the family: Transfer RNA (tRNA) molecules are approximately 80 nucleotides in length. Their secondary structure includes four short double-helical elements and three loops (D, anti-codon, and T loops). Lineage: Eukaryota; Metazoa; Chordata; Mammalia; Artiodactyla; Camelidae. The record is from Rfam by way of RNAcentral. RNAcentral also lists the same sequence under 2 other names.